ACUCCUACGGGAGGCAGCAGUGGGGAAUUUUUCGCAAUGGGGGCAACCCUGACGAAGCAAUGCCGCGUGGAUGAUGAAGUAUUUCGGUACGUAAAAUCCUUUCGACAGGGACGAAACCGCAAGGUUGACGGUACCUGUAGAAGAAGCCCCGGCUAACUCCGUGCCAGCAGCCGCGGUAAUACGGGGGGGGCAAGCGUUGUUCGGAAUUACUGGGCGUAAAGGGUGCGUAGGCGGCUUUCUAAGUUGAAUGUGAAAACUCUGGGCUUAACCCAGAGCCUGCAUCCAAAACUGGCAAACUUGAGUACUGGAGGGGAAAGCGGAAUUCCUGGUGUAGCGGUGAAAUGCGUAGAUAUCAGGAGGAACACCGGUGGCGAAGGCGGCUUUCUGGACAGUAACUGACGCUGAGGCGCGAAAGCUAGGGGAGCAAACAGGAUUAGAUACCCUGGUAGUCCUAGCCCUAAACGAUGGAUACUUGGUGUGAGGGGGAUUGAAUCCCUUCGUGCCGUAGCUAACGCAAUAAGUAUCCCGCCUGGGGAGUACGGUCGCAAGGCUGAAACUUAAAGGAAUUGACGG
Molecule: ribosomal RNA, 573 nt
Filed under: uncultured Acidobacteriota bacterium
Lineage: Bacteria; Pseudomonadati; Acidobacteriota
Description: bacterial SSU rRNA
Rfam family: Bacterial small subunit ribosomal RNA
Source: RNAcentral